RNAcentral lists this ribosomal RNA (468 nucleotides) under uncultured bacterium. RNAcentral's name for it is "partial 16S ribosomal RNA". It matches the Rfam family "Bacterial small subunit ribosomal RNA", at positions 28 to 507 of the family's 1533-position model. The record is from RNAcentral.
GACGACCGCUGGCGGCGUGCUUAACACAUGCAAGUCGAACGGAAAGGCCCUGCUUUUGUGGGGUGCUCGAGUGGCGAACGGGUGAGUAACACGUGAGUAACCUGCCCUUGACUUUGGGAUAACUUCAGGAAACUGGGGCUAAUACCGGAUAGGAGCUCCUGCUGCAUGGUGGGGGUUGGAAAGUUUCGGCGGUUGGGGAUGGACUCGCGGCUUAUCAGCUUGUUGGUGGGGUAGUGGCUUACCAAGGCUUUGACGGGUAGCCGGCCUGAGAGGGUGACCGGCCACAUUGGGACUGGGAUACGGCCCAGACUCCUACGGGAGGCAGCAGUGGGGAAUAUUGCACGAUGGGCGGAAGCCUGAUGCAGCAACGCCGCGUGCGGGAUGACGGCCUUCGGGUUGUAAACCGCUUUCGCCUGUGACGAAGCGUGAGUGACGGUAAUGGGUAAAGAAGCACCGGCUAACUACGUG